UUUCCUCCGUCACCUUUGUUAUACCGUCAGCAUUUGAGCCGUCAACCACGGAGUCAGCUGAUCCUAUGACCGUCAGCAUAAGCACCGUCUACUACGCCCAAAGAAAAAGUAUUAAUCCGUCGGCUUUAUGUCCGUGUGGUUUAAGCUCUCCUUUUAUCCUCAUCAGUUGCCCCCUACUCUACAUGUUCGACGAGUAAGACCGUCAGCAUGUGGAGUUAGAAGAUGAUUAGAGAAAAAUCAAAUAUGAACGACUCCUCGAUCUUCGAGCUAUUAAAUGCAAGGUCACGUGGCAUUCAGUCGUUGGCCUCGUUUCUGGGCGCGGGCGUCGCCUCGUCUUCCGUGCGUUUUCUCUCCUGUAUAAAUACCACGCCCCUUGACUCAUUUCAUCAUUUCAACCUCGCUGGUUUUUCAAGAGAGAAUCCGUCACCCUUACCUCCAAUUUGAUCCGUCAGCUGUUAUCAACACCGUCACUUUCAAGGUCGUUCCAUCCAUUCAAGAUCUGCUUCACCUGUAAGUUCUUCUUUCCUUCUCUUCGCUUUUUUCUCCCUUUUUUAUUUUUGUCUGAAAAAACAAAGUCAGUCUAGGAACUUAGAGCAUAUCCGUCACUUGUAGGUAGUCAGAUGUCGAGUGACGCGUCGAGUGAUCAGUCGUCAGUCCGCGAUGGAGCGGGCUACGACGAAUUCUUUGGCUCAGGUCAAGAGUCCGACGGCUUUUCUGAAUCGUCAGGAAAGGAAACGUCAGCCCAGUCCCUUAGUAUUGAUGUAGAAGGCCAAGUUGAGGAAGUUAGGGAUAAAGUGUUAAGUGAGGUUGAGGUCGAGAGGAGAGACGAGGAAAUUUGUGUUGACGGGAACGGGGAUGAAGGCGACGAGGAGUCGGAUAGUGACGGGAGUAGGGACGAGGGUAACGAGGUUAGUAGUGACGGAAAUGAGGAUGAAGGUGACGACGAGUCCUGUGAUGGAACUUCAGGGAGUUCUGGAGGUAACCGUCCCUUCAUCCUCCCGGAGGAGUGGGCCGUCAAUAAAUUCCUUCCAAAGAUGAGCAACAGAGUUUUUAACGAGUUGCGUACCCGUUUCCAAAUCCCAGACCACAUUCCUAUCCGUCUCCCUAGAAAAAAUGAGAAGUGUUAUACAGGGAGGACUGCUGAUGUGGGGAUGUACGAUGCCAUGUUUGCUGCUGGCCUUAGAUUACCACUGACGGCUUUACACCGUCAGCUAGCGGAUUUCUUGGGAUUGUCCGUCAGCCAAAUUGCUCCGAAUGCCUGGAGGAUUUUUAUUGGUGCUGAGAUCCUUUGGGGUCGCUUGAGUGGGGGGAACCGUCAGCUUUCGCUAGACGAGUUCUUUUAUUGCUACAGACCCCAGCAUAAAGUAUCUGCCAAGGGGACCUACCAUUUUGCUCCACGUGAGAAGAGCUUAAGAUUAGUGUUUGAUAUGCCAGACUCCAAUAGAAAUUGGAAGAAUAGAUUUUUCUUUGUUAAAGGGACGGAUUGGGUGUGCCGUCCAGGUGAGUGGGAUACACUGCCUGGCGGUUAUUUUGAUAACACUUGGGCCUAUAUUAGGGAGUCAGGUUGCCCCCUUGUCCUUCUUCUUACCGUCUCUUUUCAUUUAUCAGGGAGUUUUCUUGAGUCCGUCUCCUUUAACACCGUCUAUUCCCUUUUAUUUCAGCUAGCGCUCGCCCGGAGAUAUCUGACGAACAAAGGGAAUUUAUCCGUCGGAUACUUGGCAUACCGCUUGAGCAACGGAAGUGUAGGGACUUAAUCACCCUAGACACUCUCCAUUUGUAUUGUGGGGGUCCAGAGCCGACGGUUGAAGCUCGGAAGUUGGAAGAAUUUUCUCGUAAACGUAAGUCGAAGCCUUACAUGACCCGUCGGUUUAUUUCUUUCGUCGGCUAUUACUGAUCCGUCAAUUUAUUUUGUGUAGAGAUGGAAGCUGCGAAGCAAAGGGUGAGGGCCGCUGCAGCCCGUAAGAAGGAGGAGGAGAAAGCUAAGGGAAAAGAAGGAGCGUCAACCCCUCAUUCCUCUUUGAAGAGUUCAGUUAAGAGGAAGGCUGACGGAAAGGACGAUCCCCCUUCUAAGAAGGUAGCUGUCAGUGCUGGGGAUGUGCCUUCCACGAAGUCGCCUCCCAAGUCUGGUCACGGUGCUGGGAAAGGAGUGAUGACCUCUUCCGGUCCCGUCAUUGAGGGACCCCGUUGCUUGCUGACCCACAAGGAUUAUGCUGUUGAGGGGGUAGAAUCCCUCAUAAAACAGACGGAUCUGGACCCUUGUGCUCAGCUAGGGACGGAAGACCUGGGGGCGUCAGCUUUCUUUGACAUAGCACGGGCCUUGGUUCGUGUAAAAGCACUUCAAGACCGGUGCGUGGCCAAAGAAGGCGUCGUUUCUCGGGUUAGGAGGCAUAACGCCAAUCUGAUGGAUCAGCAAGCGCAAUAUAAGGAGGCCGUCCGUCUCUUAAACUCAGAGCUGAAGGAUGUAAAGGAGAAGUUGGGGGAGGCUGAGGGUCAGCAGAAGAAGCUUGAGGAGGAGGUUUCAUCCUUACGUGCACAAGUAGAGACGGCUGGGACUGACGCGGUCCAAAAAUUCAAGACAACCCAGUCAUUUAUUGAUUCCUGCGCUGAUUAUUACGGCACAGGUUUCGACGAUUGUCUGAAGCAGGUAGCGUCAGCUUAUCCAGAGUUGGAUCUAUCCGGAAUUACCAUGGAUGCCUCCGUGCCGAUGACUCCUGCUCGUGAAACUGUUGCUGACAAAGGUGACGGACCCCUUAGUUUGGACUCUUUGCUUAAUGAUGCCGGAGUUAUUUUGGCUCAGCCAGCCGUCACUAUCCCUGCCGAGUCUUCAGAUGCGGCGCAAAUUGCCAAGGAUAAAGCUGACAGGGUCUCCAAGGAUGUUCCUGCCACUUAACCCUGGCUUUUCUAUUGUAAUUUUUGAACAAUGUUUUUAAAUGCCCUUCCGUUUAUUGGGCUUUUUACUUGUAACUCUAUCUUCCCCUUUUUAUGGCACUUGGAAUCCGUUGCUUCGAACACGUAUGUUGAUUCUAAUUUCUUAUGGUCCCAUUUAUUUGACGAGAUUGUUACCUUUCGAUUUUUUAGCCCCCUUUUUUUGUCAUUUGAACGGGCUUUGUUGGUUUGAGAACCACGUUUGUAAGUAGGGUCUUACUUUUUCGUUAGACCGUCAUCUAUUGGACCGUCUGUAUUAUAGGUCCGUUAGUUCUAGGACUUGGUCCAUACGAUGAUAUUUUCAUCUAUUUGAUCGUCAGCUUUUUAGCCUCCGUUAGUCCCUUAGCCUUGAUGUCUUUGACAUCCUUUUUGGCCCGUCAGCUUUUUAAGCCUUUGGUGUAUCUAAUCACCUUCAUUAGUCCUUUGUUUUUUAGGACCUCGUCCAUAUG
Quercus lobata is the source of this 3374-nucleotide non-coding RNA. The record is from RefSeq and is a predicted model, not a curated record. NCBI's taxonomy places the organism in Eukaryota, Viridiplantae, Streptophyta, Magnoliopsida, Fagales, Fagaceae.